GAUGAACGCUGGCGGCGUGCCAAUCCCUGCAAGUCGAGCGAACAGAUGAGGAGCUUGCUCCUCUGACGUUAGCGGCGGACGGGUGAGUAACACGUGGAUAACCUACCUAUAAGACUGGGAUAACUUCGGGAAACCGGAGCUAAUGCCGGAUAAUAUAUUGAACCGCAUGGUUCAAUAGUGAAAGACGGUUUUGCUGUCACUUAUAGAUGGAUCCGCGCCGCAUUAGCUAGUUGGUAAGGUAACGGCUUACCAAGGCAACGAUGCGUAGCCGACCUGAGAGGGUGAUCGGCCACACUGGAACUGAGACACGGUCCAGACUCCUACGGGAGGCAGCAGUAGGGAAUCUUCCGCAAUGGGCGAAAGCCUGACGGAGCAACGCCGCGUGAGUGAUGAAGGUCUUCGGAUCGUAAAACUCUGUUAUUAGGGAAGAACAAAUGUGUAAGUAACUAUGCACGUCUUGACGGUACCUAAUCAGAAAGCCACGGCUAACUACGUG
RNAcentral lists this ribosomal RNA (496 nucleotides) under uncultured bacterium. RNAcentral describes it as "partial 16S ribosomal RNA". It matches the Rfam family "Bacterial small subunit ribosomal RNA", at positions 28 to 507 of the family's 1533-position model. The record is from RNAcentral.